RNAcentral lists this long non-coding RNA (1475 nucleotides) under Androctonus crassicauda. The record is from RNAcentral. Lineage: Eukaryota; Metazoa; Arthropoda; Arachnida; Scorpiones; Buthidae.
AUUCAAGUCCUGUAAGAGUUAGUUAGGCCAUAAAGUUUUAAGAUUUUUGUAUCAUGAGUUCUGAGAUAAACAUGUUAUAGUAUGUGUUCUUUCUAGUGAUCUGCCAGGAAGAAACAAUAGACUGUGUGUUCAGGUUUCACAGGUAAGGAUGGAGAAAUUCUAACUGAUGCACUUCAGUAAUUAAGAUAGUACAAAUGUGUUUAUUUAACAUCAACAUAUUUUGCAUUGAGAGAUUUCUUUACAAUCACUUUUUUCUUGCUUUAGAUAUAAACAAAACUCUAAUAAGUGAUAAAUACCUUUUCAUUGAUGACAAGAUGCAAAUCAGUUGAGACUAGCCAAACAGAAUUGAAGAAUGACUCACAGAAUUGGGGCAGUCUGUUGAAUGACUUCUUAUUCUCUGGUAUUUCUGCAGUUAUGCUACUCUUGUAUUAUGCAAGUAUAACUGGGGAAGAGCGGGUGAACAAACAUUAUAUUUUCUUUUUAUUCCUCUUUUUCUUUUCUCUCAUAUUUCUCUGAAUUACAAUCACAUCUGAUCACUUACUUCUCUCUCUUGAUCAAAAAACAUCCAACUCUCCUUCUUUGAGCCAAAACUUCAACUGUCCUUUCAACGAGCUUAUUGUCUUUUCCCAUUUCCAGCUCAUCAACUCAUCUCUUCUCCCAAUAGUUUCCCCUUUUUACUUUUGAAAUUGUGAUAUUAGCUAGGUCUUUCUUCUCUUUAUCAUCAUCUAAUGGCAGCCAGCUCUCUUUACUUGAUUUUGAUAUUUAGACUCAUUUAACGUAGUCAAUACUUCACCAUGCUUACACGUUUGUUGGAAGAGAAGAACUAUUUAUUAACCACAAAAGUGAGAAAUCAAUCUUUGUUUAGAUUUCCUAUCUCUUUACAGCAUAUUUCAUUCAGAUAGACAGAAAAAAAAAAGAGAAAAAACAAAUGCUUCAGUAUUGUGAGAAUUUAUUCCAUAUCUUUGUGAAAAGUCUAAAUGCCUUCUCUACAAGGAGGAACUGUAAUCAUAUCAUAACAACAUUUGUCUUUUUUUUUUUUAUUAUUGAAAAGUGCUGGGAUGGUGGAUUAAGAGACCUUGUUUAAUCCUGUGACUUUCAAGAUUACUCAAUCUUGGAUUUCUUGUUAUGGGGAUUUGUGAAAGAUCAUAUGUACAUUUCUUCCAUGUCCCAGAUGAUGGAUGAAUUAAAGGAGCACAUAAUAGAAACCACAGCAUCAAUAAACAGUGUAAUGAUUACAUGCAUAUGAUUACAGACUUGACAUGUAUAAAAUUACAGAGUGCAUUAUAUUACACACAUCACAAUAUUGAUCACUGAUAAAAAAAAAUUAUAUUGAUCAUUUAAGAAAAAACUUCCAGAGUUUGUAUAUCAGAGCUAAAAAACUGUGUUCCUACUUGAAUUAAAAAAUGUUAUUGUCUGCUGAAACCCAGGCAUUCUUUUAUAAACACACUAUAUAUAAUACUGAAAAUAUAUAUCAG